AGCGCCUGCCCAUCCCGUCCUGGCAACUCCGCGGUGGACACUGUGUAGACUAGAUUUCACUCCCUUACGCGCCUGGCUUAGCCAUGUCUGACAAACCUGGUAUGGCUGAGAUCGAGAAAUUCGAUAAGUCGAAACUGAAGAAGACAGAAACGCAAGAGAAGAAUCCAUUGUCUUCCAAAGAAAAUGCAAACACGUUGGAUGAGUUUGAAAGGACUAUGCUGCCCUUUUGACAUCAAAGACCUGCUGACAAUGGAGGCCACGCCUGCUUCUCCCAUCGCCUGUCUGGCUGGCAGGGAAGGAAAAUAGCUUGAAUGUUGGUGAAAGACUUAGCGGAGUGGGAGGGCAGUGAAAUCUAGAGUAAAACCAAGUUGGGCCAAGUGUCCUGCAGAAUCUAAAAUGAAGUUUAAUCAGCGUGCCAUUUUUGUUGUUGUUUGAAAGAUUUUAAUUUUUGGAAUGCACAGUUUUUAUUUAAAAAAGACAUUUUUAAACCACUGCUUGUGAGAUUGCUUGUUGAUUGGAAAGAGUGUUUUAUUCACCAUUUAAACGUUUGCAAAGUGGCGUGCCCCUUGGCCUCACAGGCAAAGAAUAACUUAAAAGCUGACGAUUUGAAUAAAUUAUGUUACAGUAUGAAAUAUGUUUUACCUGGAUAUGUAAAAUACCUUCUUUAUUCUAGCUAAUUGGGAGAUGAUUUUUUUUGGCUAAUUGAGAUUACCUUUAGAUUAUGUUUUCAAAACUGGCUUAUACUGUAAUCUACAACUAAUAAGCACUAAUUUAGAGUUCAGCUAUAUUGUUGCAUGUAGUGAGAAGGGACUUAAUUACAAACUUAAGACGUAAGUGUGCAAUAAAGUAAGCUAAGAAGAAAA
This 863-nucleotide long non-coding RNA is filed under the name Homo sapiens (human). RNAcentral describes it as "HSALNT0288369". Lineage: Eukaryota; Metazoa; Chordata; Mammalia; Primates; Hominidae. The record is from RNAcentral.